CUGCGGAAGGAUCAUUAUCGAAUAAACUUGAACAGGCUGUUGCUGGUCUCUUGGGACAUUGUGCACGCUUGUCAUCUUUAUCAUUUCUCCAACUGUGCACGUAUUUUGUAGACCUUGGAGGGGGGAAUGGAAUUCGUUCCGAGUGGGGACUGCUGUGCCUUCAAAAAAAAAAAGGUCGGCUUUCCCUUUGAAAGGUCUAUGUCAUUUUUUUCACAACCAAUAUGUCUAGAAUGUUGAAAAUACAUAAAAGUUAUAAAAAACAACUUUCAGCAACGGAUCUCUUGGCUCUCGCAUCGAUGAAAAACGCAGCGAAAUGCGAUAAGUAAUGUGAAUUGCAAAAUUCAGUGAAUCAUCGAAUCUUUGAACGCAUCUUGCGCUCCUUGGUAUUCCGAGGAGCAUGCCUGUUUGAGUGUCAUUUUGAACUCUCAAAGCCCCACAUCUUGAUGUGGCUUUGGACUUGGGGGCUUUUGCAGGCUUUUUAAUAAAAGGCCUGCUCUCCUGAAAUUCAUUAGUGGUACCUGGAGCGGAAACCGCUAGGUGUUGAUAACAUUCAUCUAUGCCUUUGGUAUGCCGCACAAAUGGGCUGCUUCGAAACUGCACAUGCUCUUGACAAACUUGACCUCAAAUCAGGUAGGACUACCCGCUGAACUUAAGCAUAUCAAUAAGGCGGAGGA
RNAcentral lists this small RNA (674 nucleotides) under Inocybe nitidiuscula. RNAcentral describes it as "eukaryotic LSU rRNA". The stretch from base 262 to 415 matches the Rfam family "5.8S ribosomal RNA". The record is from RNAcentral. Lineage: Eukaryota; Fungi; Basidiomycota; Agaricomycetes; Agaricales; Inocybaceae.